Molecule: non-coding RNA, 45 nt
Filed under: Trichobilharzia regenti
Lineage: Eukaryota; Metazoa; Platyhelminthes; Trematoda; Strigeidida; Schistosomatidae
Source: RNAcentral
AUCCAACUGACGAGUCCCAAAUUGGAUGAAAUGCAUCUCCUGGAU